This 394-nucleotide ribosomal RNA is filed under the name uncultured bacterium. RNAcentral's name for it is "partial 16S ribosomal RNA". It matches the Rfam family "Bacterial small subunit ribosomal RNA", at positions 523 to 918 of the family's 1533-position model. The record is from RNAcentral.
AUACGGAGGAUGCAAGCGUUAUCCGGAUUUAUUGGGCUUAAAGGGUGCGUAGGCGGAUGAUUAAGCGUGAGGUGAAAUGCCACUGCUCAACAGUGGAACUGCCUCGCGAACUGGUUGUCUUGAAUGCUCCUGCCGUGGGAGGAAUGUGUGGUGUAGCGGUGAAAUGCAUAGAGAUCACACAGAACACCGAUUGCGAAGGCAUCUCACGAAGGGGUGAUUGACGCUGAGGCACGAAAGCGUGGGGAUCAAACAGGAUUAGAUACCCUGGUAGUCCACGCAGUAAACGAUGAUAACUAACCGCUGGGUCGUAGUGAUUCAGUGGCCAAGCGAAAGCGAUAAGUUAUCCACCUGGGGAGUACGACCGCAAGGUUGAAACUCAAAGGAAUUGACGGGG